Molecule: transfer RNA, 61 nt
Filed under: Trichinella sp. T6
Lineage: Eukaryota; Metazoa; Nematoda; Enoplea; Trichinellida; Trichinellidae
Description: tRNA-Val
Source: RNAcentral
CUAGCCUAGAGCAUAAUAUAAUAAGUAUAUCUUGAUUACAACAAGAAGGUUUUAGCCCUAA